AGUUUGAUCCUGGCUCAGGAUGAACGCUGGCGGCGUGCUUAACACAUGCAAGUCGAACGAAGCGCUACCGACGGAACUUUUCGGAGGGAAGAUGGUAAUGACUGAGUGGCGGACGGGUGAGUAACGCGUGGGUAACCUGCCUCACAGAGGGGGACAACAGCCGGAAACGGCUGCUAAUACCGCAUAACAAGGGAUCUCCGCAUGAAGGUUCCUUCAAAGAUUUAUCGCUGUGAGAUGGACCCGCGUCUGAUUAGCUAGUUGGCAGGGUAACGGCCUACCAAGGCGACGAUCAGUAGCCGGCUUGAGAGAGUGAACGGCCACAUUGGGACUGAGACACGGCCCAGACUCCUACGGGAGGCAGCAGUGGGGAAUAUUGCACAAUGGGGGAAACCCUGAUGCAGCGACGCCGCGUGAGUGAAGAAGUAUUUCGGUAUAUAAAGCUCUAUCAGCAGGGAAGAUAAUGACGGUACCUGACUAAGAAGCCCCGGCUAACUACGUG
This 499-nucleotide ribosomal RNA is filed under the name uncultured Lachnospiraceae bacterium. RNAcentral's name for it is "bacterial SSU rRNA". It matches the Rfam family "Bacterial small subunit ribosomal RNA", at positions 10 to 507 of the family's 1533-position model. Lineage: Bacteria; Bacillati; Bacillota; Clostridia; Lachnospirales; Lachnospiraceae. The record is from RNAcentral.